Molecule: non-coding RNA, 132 nt
Filed under: Amycolatopsis orientalis
Lineage: Bacteria; Bacillati; Actinomycetota; Actinomycetes; Pseudonocardiales; Pseudonocardiaceae
Source: RNAcentral
CGCACCGGAGAGUGAACCGGAGACCCAUGCGACGGCAGAGGGAGGAACCCGGUGAGAGUCCGGGGCGGUCCCGCCACUGUCACCCUCCUUGCCAGGGAGGGGAGCCAGGAACUCCGGCCGUCGCGACCACAC